RNAcentral lists this ribosomal RNA (440 nucleotides) under uncultured bacterium. Its description in RNAcentral is "partial 16S ribosomal RNA". It matches the Rfam family "Bacterial small subunit ribosomal RNA", at positions 338 to 795 of the family's 1533-position model. The record is from RNAcentral.
CCUACGGGAGGCAGCAGUGGGGACUAUUGCACAAUGGGGGAAACCCUGAUGCAGCGACGCCGCGUGAGUGAAGAAGUAAUUCGUUAUGUAAAGCUCUAUCAGCAGGGAAGAAAAUGACGGUACCUGUGUAAGCAGCGCCGGCUAACUACGUGCCAGCAGCCGCGGUAAUACGUAGGGGGCAAGCGUUAUCCGGAUUUACUGGGUGUAAAGGGAGCGUAGACGGCAGUGCAAGUCUGGAGUGAAAGGCGGGGGCUCAACCCCCGGACGGCUCUGGAAACUGUACGGCUGGAGUGCAGGAGAGGUAAGUGGAAUUCCUAGUGUAGCGGUGAAAUGCGUAGAUAUUAGGAGGAACACCAGUGGCGAAGGCGGCUUACUGGACUGUAACUGACGUUGAGGCUCGAAAGCGUGGGGAGCAAACAGGAUUAGAUACCCGAGUAGUC